AGUCUUAUAUUCAAUUAUGAUAUUAAAUUGCAAAUUUAAUGGAGAAGUUUAAACUUUUAAGGCUU
Molecule: transfer RNA, 65 nt
Filed under: Callosobruchus chinensis (azuki bean weevil)
Lineage: Eukaryota; Metazoa; Arthropoda; Insecta; Coleoptera; Chrysomelidae
Description: tRNA-Cys
Source: RNAcentral